Molecule: ribosomal RNA, 759 nt
Filed under: Neisseria subflava
Lineage: Bacteria; Pseudomonadati; Pseudomonadota; Betaproteobacteria; Neisseriales; Neisseriaceae
Description: bacterial SSU rRNA
Rfam family: Bacterial small subunit ribosomal RNA
Source: RNAcentral
AUUGAACGCUGGCGGCAUGCUUUACACAUGCAAGUCGGACGGCAGCACAGAGAAGCUUGCUUCUUGGGUGGCGAGUGGCGAACGGGUGAGUAAUAUAUCGGAACGUACCGAGUAAUGGGGGAUAACUAAUCGAAAGAUUAGCUAAUACCGCAUAUUCUCUGAGGAGGAAAGCAGGGGACCUUCGGGCCUUGCGUUAUUCGAGCGGCCGAUAUCUGAUUAGCUAGUUGGUGGGGUAAAGGCCUACCAAGGCGACGAUCAGUAGCGGGUCUGAGAGGAUGAUCCGCCACACUGGGACUGAGACACGGCCCAGACUCCUACGGGAGGCAGCAGUGGGGAAUUUUGGACAAUGGGCGCAAGCCUGAUCCAGCCAUGCCGCGUGUCUGAAGAAGGCCUUCGGGUUGUAAAGGACUUUUGUCAGGGAAGAAAAGGCUGUUGCUAAUAUCGACAGCUGAUGACGGUACCUGAAGAAUAAGCACCGGCUAACUACGUGCCAGCAGCCGCGGUAAUACGUAGGGUGCGAGCGUUAAUCGGAAUUACUGGGCGUAAAGCGAGCGCAGACGGUUACUUAAGCAGGAUGUGAAAUCCCCGGGCUUAACCUGGGAACUGCGUUCUGAACUGGGUGACUAGAGUGUGUCAGAGGGAGGUAGAAUUCCACGUGUAGCAGUGAAAUGCGUAGAGAUGUGGAGGAAUACCGAUGGCGAAGGCAGCCUCCUGGGAUAACACUGACGUCCAUGCUCGAAAGCGUGGGUAGCAAACAGG